CAAAAGUGUAUAAAUACUAAGUCAGAACUGUGGUCAGAAUCACAAUCAAGCUGGUCAAAAUUCGAUACAAAUGUCUUCGUCGAAUUCAGAUACGGAAAAUAACAGUUACCAAAGCGAUGACUGACUGAAAUUAUAUUCCUGAGCCGUAUCAAAUCGAGUGAAAUUGAUGAAAACACCAGUGAAGCGUAGUCAAGCAGCGCCGCCGAUCAUUCAUGUGCCCGACGAAGAUUGGCUCAAAAGUUACCGUGAAAAAAAGCAAUCGCGACGAACGCGUCUUAAGCAACUACAACAAAGGCUUGAUAGUUCAGAAGAAUUGAGUAAAUGGUAAAUAUUUUGUUGCGUGACUUGACCUUGCGUUUCGUGACUUGCCAGUGUUUCUACAUACACAGUAUUCAAAUUACAAAAUAUAAUAUUUCAGGUGUAAACGUGGCAAUUGUCGCAUUGAACUGCUUCGUAAAUUAUGCUAAAGAGUGUUAAUGUUGUACGGAAAUUGAGGAGUGCGUCGAUUCUCUACACAGUAACAUUGUGAUUUGUGAUGCAAGAUGAAGUCGCGCCAUCAUGUAUAAUUCAACAGCUUAUCACUAGAUAAGUGAGCCUUCCGUUCAGCAGCCACGAAAUUACGAACAAGAAAGAAGCAGGAAUACCGUCAAACAAACACAGAAGAUGGGAAAAUAAAGUUUUAUUUAUCAACAUAUUGAAAUUAAGAAACAGUUUACCGUACCCGAGUUUACUAUCAGUGAACACACGCAUGCGGUACGGUAACUGAGAGUUUUAUAUACGGUACAUGCUGUACAAUUAUUGAAUUACUAUAUAUUUACAUAUGUCCACAUGCAAGUAAGCGACUUAUUAAAAAGAUUUAUUUAUUAAUUUACAGAUUCUGAAGGAGCUAUUGAUGAAGACUUUGUAGGAUUUGUAGAGGAUAGCUCUUGAUCUUAUAGAAUUAUUUUUCAAUAAAUAAACCUAUUACACUGUAUAAGCGUAGUAAUAUUAUACUGUAUUGCGUAUAGAAACAGCACAUUUGCUAUAUUCAUGACUUAUUACAAUAUUAUUUUGCCAAAGAGGCUG
Molecule: non-coding RNA, 1065 nt
Organism: Paramuricea clavata
Lineage: Eukaryota; Metazoa; Cnidaria; Anthozoa; Malacalcyonacea; Plexauridae
Source: the annotation of a GenBank genome assembly